CUACAGGCGAGGCAAGAUCGGGACGGCGGGCUUGGGGCUAUGGCGUAGAAGGCACCGAUGGGGUCGGAACGUCGAGGAGGAUGCAUGGAGAGUGGGGAACGUCAAGAAGGAUGCACUAGGGAGGGGGUCGCCAUCAAUCAGGAGAAGGUGCCAGUGAGGUGGGGAAAAAUUAGGAAGGAGAAGAACGAGAGGGGAUUCGCAGGA
This 204-nucleotide long non-coding RNA is filed under the name Elaeis guineensis (African oil palm). RNAcentral's name for it is "long non-coding RNA (EGUI_LNC080560)". Lineage: Eukaryota; Viridiplantae; Streptophyta; Magnoliopsida; Arecales; Arecaceae. The record is from RNAcentral.